This 294-nucleotide unclassified non-coding RNA is filed under the name Hevea brasiliensis (rubber tree). Lineage: Eukaryota; Viridiplantae; Streptophyta; Magnoliopsida; Malpighiales; Euphorbiaceae. The record is from RNAcentral.
GGCCUUGGAAUGCUUGUUGAACAGGUAAUAUUCUAUCUAAAGUUGUUAGCAAUGCAAAUUUAGGUAGUGUUUCAUUUGUUGUUGACUUGUUUAUUCCAAAUGACUUCAAAGCUUUAUUAAGAAUUCAGUUCUAUACUUGUUUUAUGGUUUUAUCAAUAUCCCCUGCGUCAAUGAUAGGAAACUUGUUCACCAUUACGUAAAGCCAUAAAUUGUUAGAAAAACUGCAGUUAUACCAUUAUGAACCUCCACCUUGCACUCUGAAUCUGAAGUGCUCUCUUAUAUAAAUAAAAGUGG